AUUGCACAAGUAUAGUAUGCAUUCUGUAUGAUGAGCAUGAUAAUAAUCAUGAUGUUGAACUUUAUGGAGGUCAACCAGCCUUAAGUGCAAGAACAAACCAAGAAUCCCUUAUUCACAGAUCCUUCUCCUAGAGCUUUAAUAUUUGAUGCACAGAGGGACUCUCAUUUCCAUAAGUGUUGCAGCAGGGACCAGAUGAUGGAAGUCGUAUGAUUCUUUGUGACACUCUCCCUAUCAGGGCUUACAAUGAAGAGGGUACCAACUGGGAAAAAGAUGUGCUUCUAGAAAGUGGUUUAAAUUUGUAUGAAGCCAGAUAAUUCAAGCAAUUUUCUCUUUUUAUAAUAUUUUUUUACAGUAAAAGAGCUUCUUUCAAUGAAAAUAGUUUUGUCUUAGUUUUAAAUAUCCGUGUGGCUCAAUAAGCACACAUUGUAGGUUUUCGAGCCUACAUGUAAAUACUGUAGUUCUUAGCGUUUACAGGUGUAUAUUACAGAUUUUAGUGUGCACAUGUUUUUUUUCCCUCUGUUGGACCACCCCUUUGCCAUGGUCAAGUGGCAUGCUUGUCUCAAUGACCCCCAGAAAUAUGCCGACAGGAGCACUAGCUCCUGGCAUGGUCACCCAUUUUGGAGAGAUCAAAAGUGGUUCACUGGUCCUCUAGGUUAAAGGGGAUGGGCAAUGGACUAACAAUUCAUUCAUAUAAAAGCAUAUGGUUACUGAAACUGGCGACAUCCCAACAAACUGUGGGACAAGUCUGAGAUGGCAAUUACAAGAUUGCGUACUGAAAAAUAUUUCAUUUAUAAUACACACUAUGCAAAAAACAGAUAUACAUGAACUACAAUUAUGUUUGUACCUGGAUUCACCUUUUCAACUGAACAAUUUUCAUUAUCACCUGAAUAAAGUAGAGAGGGAGCACUUGAACUGUUAUUGAAUAGUCCUGAGCUCAUUUCAAUAGGGGGAGAGAGCAGUAACAUUACAUUCCUCGCUUGCUGCCGACUAGAAUGAAAACCAAUACAUAGUGUACGGCAGAAUUUACUUUUAAUGAUUGCAA
This is a long non-coding RNA of Pomacea canaliculata, 1042 nucleotides long. RefSeq lists it as uncharacterized. The record is from RefSeq and is a predicted model, not a curated record. NCBI's taxonomy places the organism in Eukaryota, Metazoa, Mollusca, Gastropoda, Architaenioglossa, Ampullariidae. The transcript has 2 exons.